UAUAUAUAUAUAUAUAUAUAUAUAUAUAUAUAUAUAUAUAUUAGAGCUGUCAGGUUAGCGCGUUUUUAUUGGCAUUGAUUUAAAUGAAUUUUAACGGGAUUAAAUUUUUUCUUGCGAGAUUAACGCGGCACAGGUCACAGCGGAUGUUACGUUGCUCUAUAAAUAAACCAGAAACAAAACAAGAGAGCUGCAUAUGUCCGCGCACGUUUGUUUUGCCAGCCACAGCAGCGCGAGACACCGAAAACGGAUACUUAAAGAGUUUAUGAAUGGAAAGUUUAUUUUUAAAAAGUUGCCAGAUUGCUCCACUAACAAGACCAAAGUUACCUGUAUCAUACAGGUAAACGAUGUAUGCCACUGACUCGAUUGUUAAUUGUUUGGAAUUAUUUUGUGUGGAAGGUUACAGUGUUCCGUGUCGAUAUAAAUAGAGCGGGUGAGCUUCUCUGAGUUCUGUAGUCAUCCGAAAUGAUGUCUACACAAAACCGUAGAGAGACUACUGCGCAAGAAGGACCAACACAAUCAACAUAGUAUGCAGCAAGUGAAGUAUGCAACCAUGGCUUAAAUCCACUGUUGGCUGAGUACUAGUUUACCUUAGAUGUGCACUUUAUAAUGUUAUAUUGCUCUGUUUUGAUUCCAUAAAAAGAGCUGUUAAAGCA
Molecule: long non-coding RNA, 653 nt
Organism: Hippocampus zosterae (dwarf seahorse)
Lineage: Eukaryota; Metazoa; Chordata; Actinopteri; Syngnathiformes; Syngnathidae
Exons: 2
Source: RefSeq, a predicted model, not a curated record